This 717-nucleotide long non-coding RNA is filed under the name Sorghum bicolor (sorghum). Its description in RNAcentral is "long non-coding RNA (SBIC_LNC009536)". The record is from RNAcentral. Lineage: Eukaryota; Viridiplantae; Streptophyta; Magnoliopsida; Poales; Poaceae.
CUCAUCUAAGUGUGCAGCUUGGAUCUUUAAAAAAUCUGAAUGGGGCGAUGGUAUUAUAGUAUCCAUAUAUGAGUGAAGUGUGUUUCUUAAUGAUUUUAUGCACUAACUGGAGUAUGUUCUUCCAAAUCAUUGCUGUUGAUAAGGACGGAAAUACAUGGAUCAAAAUACAGAAGCCACAUGGUGAUGCAAUCUCCAUCCAUGAAGUCCACGGUCAGUUGUGUGUAUGUACUGCUGAUAAUUACAAUAUGACUCAGCUUUCAAUCUAGAUCCUUGAAGAUUAUGGUAGUAAUAAUUGGACAUUGAAGCAUACGGUGACCACGCUGGAGAUAUUUAGACGGAACAAUAUUCAAUUUAGUUAUGAGGUUUGUGAUGCGGUGUUAGAGUGAUUACAGGUCACCUAGAAUGGGAUUUGAUUUUCCUUGUUGGGUUGGACAGAACAGUGCUUACAUAUAUAUGACUUCAACCAUAGAAAAGUUCAUGUCCUCCCUACAAGGGUCAUCCACUAUCCUAGACCUACCUGGAGUCUAUGUAUCAAUGGACCUCAUUAUCUUCCUUAUGUUCCCUUAAUCAUGGAGAUAUUAGCUGAGCAGUAACAGUGCAUUUGUUGUAUUUUUUUAUCAGGUAUGGAGUAGUUUUGAUUCAAUAUAGAUGCCAAUUUGGGCUUGGUAACUGAGGCAAUGGUAUGUUGAAUAUUAUUAAUUAUGUUCCUUUGUGCAG